AUGGGGAACAUCCUCAAUUUCACAACUGCUGUGACAGAUCAUUGCUGUCCAGGGCAACUAUGCCGAGGCGGCGGCAGCAGCAGCAGCAGAAUGGCAACCCAUCAGCUCGAAGCGUUGAGCAUUCUGGCUUUUAGAGCUUUAUUAUGCGAGCACAUACAACAGCAUGAAGCGUUCUGUCGAAAGCGGAUAGGCAGCAGUCAGUUUCAACUGCUGAGCAUUCUGCUUUGCGGAGCUGUCCAUGCCAAGGGAAUAGCGGCCGGCGAUCGGUUUAAACUGUGUGGCAUUCUGAUAGUAUGUGGAGUUAUAUCUGACCACAUCAUCUGUCACGACGCAAAGGAACCACAUGUUGACCACCCAAGAAGCAGCAGCAGCAGCAGGAUAGCAGGCCACCGGUUUGAACCGUUGAUCAUCCUGGCUUUCAGAGCUAUAUUGGAGCACAUAUGGCAGCAUAAAUCGUUUGUUCAAAAGCAGAUAGCCAAUGGCCGGUUCCAGCUCCUGAGCAUUCUGCUCUGCGGAGCAAUCCAUGCCAAGGGAAUCGUAGCAAGUGAUCAGUGUAAAAUGUGUGGCCUUCUGCUGUGCGGAGUUAUGUCUGACUACUUCUGUGAUGAUGCAAAGGACCCACCGACUGAUGUGCUUCGAGACCUUCCAGAGGGCUUACUUUGGACAAUUUUUUCAAUGUUGCCUCUAGAUGCGGCUGUUAGGACCAGUGCCUUGUCAAGGCAAUGGAGAUACUUGUGGACAGAUUGUCCUAAACUGAGUUUCGAUGGAAAUACAUUAUGCAACAAGAAAAAUCAUGGGAAACAAGUAUAUACUCCCCUGUUCAUUCACAUUGUUAAUAGGGUCUUGGAACAGUGCCGUGGCAAGUUUGUUGAAGAGCUCGCAAUCAAAAUUGAGCUGAACUGCAUGUUGGUGGAAUAUCUUGAUAAUUGGGUCCGUUUCGCAGUAUCAUCUGGGACAAAGGCACUAGUUUUUGAUUUAGCACCAGAAGAGCGUCAACUUGUAGGCCGUGAUGAUCGCUACAGAUUCCCAUUUGAGCUUUUAGACAAGGAAAGUAUAUGCCGUCUGCAGAAAAUACAUCUUAGUUUUGUAGAUUUCCAGCCACCAAUGCAGUUCAGAGGUUUCCCUAACCUACAGAAGCUUGACCUUAACUUAGUGAAUGUCAGUGGGAAGGAAAUUCUACAUAUGCUGUCAAACUGCUGUAACCUAGAGUGGCUGAGUAUUGUUAGAUGCCAUCUCAAUUGUGACCUAGAGGUUAACUGUCCACUGCCUCAUCUGCUAUACUUGAAAAUUGUGUCCUGCAUUAUAACAAGUAUAGCGUUUGAUGCAGUGAACCUUGCGACUUUUAAAUACAAAGGAAGGGCUGUGCCUAUUGACCUGAGCAAAUCAUCAGAACUGGUAUGUGCAGAUAUAUGGUUUGGUAGAGUCACUUUUGGGCACGCUAUUGCUGUACUUGCUAAAGUGCUCACAAGCGUGCAACAUCUGACCCUUGAUACGGCCUGUAAACCACAAAAGAUUCCCCGUUUGAUGCAUCACCGAUGCGAGUUUUCUCAGAUGAAAUAUUUACAGUUGAGGUUGGUCUAUAUUGAAGAAUUCGAUACCUUAUCUCUGAUCUCUUUUAUGAGGUCUGCUCCUUUCAUUGAGAAGUUAGAGCUGCACUUUUGUUUCCCUGGUUACGUGCGUUUGGCACAAGAACUUGAACCUAUCAGGAAGCUACCGGAGCAUCUGUUCAACAAUUUGAAGAGUUUACAUGUUACAGGAUUUAAAGCAUGCAUUGGCCAAGUUGAGUUACUUUCGCACAUGGUGGAAAAUGCCCCCGCAUUGGAGGUUUUAAGUAUAGAUAAUUCAGACAAAUAUCCCCUAGAAGGGCAUGAAAAGAACGCAAAAACUGUCGUUGAUUUGGUCCAUAGAAUUGUUAGAAGGUAUCUUGAAGGAAAGAUUUCGCCCAAGUGCACCUUAAUAUUACUUUAG
RNAcentral lists this ribosomal RNA (1968 nucleotides) under Triticum aestivum (bread wheat). Its description in RNAcentral is "partial small subunit ribosomal RNA". Lineage: Eukaryota; Viridiplantae; Streptophyta; Magnoliopsida; Poales; Poaceae. The record is from RNAcentral.